Molecule: ribosomal RNA, 980 nt
Filed under: human gut metagenome
Description: bacterial LSU rRNA
Rfam family: Bacterial large subunit ribosomal RNA
Source: RNAcentral
CCUAAGGUAGCGAAAUUCCUUGUCGGGUAAGUUCCGACCUGCACGAAUGGCGUAACGACUUCCCCACUGUCUCGACCAGGAGCUCGGCGAAAUUGCAGUACGAGUAAAGAUGCUCGUUAAGCGCAGAAGGACGAAAAGACCCCGGGACCUUUACUAUACCUUGGUAUUGGCGUUAGGCGCGGAUUGUGUAGCAUAGGCGGGAGGCUUCGAAGCGUGGGCGCCAGCUCAUGUGGAGCCGCAAGGUGAAAUACCGCUCUGUUCUCGUUUGACGUCUCACCUCGAACGGUCAUCCUGUUCAGGGACAGUGCCUGGCGGGUAGUUUAACUGGGGCGGUUGCCUCCCAAAGAGUAACGGAGGCGCUCAAAGGUCCGCUCAGCCCGGUUGGCAAUCGGGUGUCGAGUGUAAUCGCACAAGCGGGCUUGACUGCGAGGACGACGGUCCGAGCAGGGACGAAAGUCGGGACUAGUGAUCCGGUGCCGGUGUACGGACGCGGCAUCGCUCAACGGAUAAAAGGUACCCCGGGGAUAACAGGCUGAUCAUUCCCAAGAGUCCAUAUCGACGGGAUGGUUUGGCACCUCGAUGUCGGCUCGUCGCAUCCUGGGGCUGGAGCAGGUCCCAAGGGUUCGGCUGUUCGCCGAUUAAAGCGGCACGCGAGCUGGGUUCAGAACGUCGUGAGACAGUUUGGUCUCUAUCCUCUGCGCUCGUUGGAAUGCUGAGGAGGCCUGCCCAUAGUACGAGAGGACCUGGGUGGACGAACCUCUGGUAUGCCGGUUGUCACGCCAGUGGCACGGCCGGUUGGCUACGUUCGGAAGGGAUAACCGCUGAAAGCAUCUAAGCGGGAAGCCUGCUCCAAGAUAAGCAUUCCGUGGAACCUUCGAGUUCCUGUAGUCCCCAUGCAGAACACGUGGUCGAUAGGCCGGACGUGGAAGCCCCGCGAGGGGUGGAGCCGACCGGUACUAACGGACGAAAGGCAACACUAA